Molecule: transfer RNA, 72 nt
Filed under: Stegodyphus mimosarum
Lineage: Eukaryota; Metazoa; Arthropoda; Arachnida; Araneae; Eresidae
Rfam family: tRNA
About the family: Transfer RNA (tRNA) molecules are approximately 80 nucleotides in length. Their secondary structure includes four short double-helical elements and three loops (D, anti-codon, and T loops). Further hydrogen bonds mediate the characteristic L-shaped molecular structure. tRNAs have two regions of fundamental functional importance: the anti-codon, which is responsible for specific mRNA codon recognition, and the 3' end, to which the tRNAs corresponding amino acid is attached (by aminoacyl-tRNA synthetases). tRNAs cope with the degeneracy of the genetic code in two manners: having more than one tRNA (with a specific anti-codon) for a particular amino acid; and 'wobble' base-pairing, i.e. permitting non-standard base-pairing at the 3rd anti-codon position.
Source: Rfam by way of RNAcentral
GCCUUCGUGGUGUAACGGUAGCACACUCGGCGCGUAUUCGAGAAGCCCAGGGUUCGAAUCCCAACGAGGGCA